This 261-nucleotide long non-coding RNA is filed under the name Selaginella moellendorffii. RNAcentral describes it as "long non-coding RNA (SMOE_LNC000536)". The record is from RNAcentral. Lineage: Eukaryota; Viridiplantae; Streptophyta; Lycopodiopsida; Selaginellales; Selaginellaceae.
UCCCCCCCUCAGUACCAAUGAAAAACAAAAAAAGAAAAAAGAAAAACGAGGAAAACCAAAAGACAAAAGAAAAAAAGAAAAGAGUAAAACGCUUUGCUCUCUUACGUUACCUCCAUGGAACGCUGGAUGGAAUGCUGCUAGAAGUGUCACUGUGAUCCUCUAUUCUAAGCCGCCGGAGGAAAGAGCUAGCUACUGUGAUCAGCUAUGGAAGGAUAUGGCCUAAAGCGAGCGUCUGGAUUCCCUCCUCUCUGGGAUUGUCUA